Bemisia tabaci is the source of this 108-nucleotide non-coding RNA. Lineage: Eukaryota; Metazoa; Arthropoda; Insecta; Hemiptera; Aleyrodidae. The record is from RefSeq and is a predicted model, not a curated record.
UCUGCGCAGUACAUCAAAAACAAAACUUUAAAUGCGUUUUUCUCAAAACGCGGUUUCCAGUUAUAGGUUGUUCUUGGUGCAAUGUCCUCAAUUGCCCUUGCAGUGGUU